This 491-nucleotide ribosomal RNA is filed under the name uncultured bacterium. RNAcentral's name for it is "partial 16S ribosomal RNA". It matches the Rfam family "Bacterial small subunit ribosomal RNA", at positions 29 to 507 of the family's 1533-position model. The record is from RNAcentral.
AGUGAACGCUGGCGGUAGGCCUAACACAUGCGAGUCGAACGGCAGCACAGUAAGAGCUUGCUCUUACGGGUGGCGAGUGGCGGACGGGUGAGGAAUACAUCGGAAUCUACUUUUUCGUGGGGGAUAACGUAGGGAAACUUACGCUAAUACCGCAUACGACCUACGGGUGAAAGCAGGGGAUCUUCGGACCUUGCGCGAUUGAAUGAGCCGAUGUCGGAUUAGCUAGUUGGCGGGGUAAAGGCCCACCAAGGCGACGAUCCGUAGCUGGUCUGAGAGGAUGAUCAGCCACACUGGAACUGAGACACGGUCCAGACUCCUACGGGAGGCAGCAGUGGGGAAUAUUGGACAAUGGGCGCAAGCCUGAUCCAGCCAUACCGCGUGGGUGAAGAAGGCCUUCGGGUUGUAAAGCCCUUUUGUUGGGAAAGAAAAGCAGCAGGUUAAUACCCCGCUGUUCGGACGGUACCCAAAGAAUAAGCACCGCUAACUUCGUG